Bos taurus (domestic cattle) is the source of this 735-nucleotide long non-coding RNA. The record is from Ensembl. Lineage: Eukaryota; Metazoa; Chordata; Mammalia; Artiodactyla; Bovidae.
GCCUUGAAGAUCUGUCUCCUAAGACGGAAGGCUGUAAAGAGUCAGCUCCGCCCUUCAAAAGUUCCCAACCCUGGAACUUGCCUGGUGGUCCCAUGGUGAAGCAUCUGUCUUGCAGUGCAGGAGGUCACAACCCAUUUGUGGAGCAUGAAAUCAAUUCAGUAGCUCUUGCUAGCAUUUGCUCACCAAACAGAAUGGAAUAGAUCAGAGUGCAUGGCACAUAGUAAUAGCCAAAAUGUUUAAAAAUCGCUAGACUUUAAGUAGAGGAAGCACCAAGGGAAGAAAAAUAAAUGAUCAGAGUGUGGACAACUUUGGGGAGAAGUUUGGCCUUGAGUGGGAAGUUGACUGAUCGCAAGCUGCUCUUCUGGCUCCAGAAAACAAGAGGGACCCCAUGUGAAGGAUGGACAACAAGCAUCAGUAAGCAUAAGCAUCAAAGAAGAAAGUCUUGGGAGGCCUCCCCAAAUGCGGCUGAGGCAGGUGUGGUCGGUGCAGAGCAGGUAGCAGAGAGAGGGCUCAAAAAGCAGAGGAGGCAGCCCAAGAGGGACAAGUGCCCUGUUGUAAGACUCCAGUGUCAACCUGUAGUGUCUAAUCUCACGCUUACAGAAACCCAGGGGCCCCAGGUUUGAUCCCUGGUCAGGGAACUAGAUCCCACACGCUGCAACUAGAAGUUCUCCUGCCUCAACUAGGAGUUCUCCUGCCUCAACAAAGAUCAAAGAUCCCACGUGCUGUGACUAAGAC